GAUGAACGCUGGCGGCGUGCCUAAUACAUGCAAGUCGAGCGAACAGACGAGGCUCUUGCUCCUCUGACGUUAGCGGCGGACGGGUGAUUAACACGUGGAUAACCUACCUAUAAGACUGGGAUAACUUCGGGAAACCGGAUCUAAUACCGGAUAAUAUAUUGAACCGCAUGGUUCAAUAGUGAAAGACGGUUUUGCUGUCACUUAUAGAUGUAUCCUCGCCGCAUUAGCUAGUUGGUAGGGUAACGGCUUACCAAGGCAACGAUGCGUAGCCGACCUGAGAGGAUGAUCAGCCACACUGGGACUGAGACACGGUCCAGACUCCUACGGGAGGCAGCAGUAGGGAAUCUUCCGCAAUGGGCGAAAGCCUGACGGAGCAACGCCGCGUGAGUGAUGAAGGUCUUCGGAUCGUAUAACUCUGUUAUUAGGGAAGAACAAAUGUGUAAGUAACUAUGCACGUCUUGACGGUACCAAAUCAGAAAGCCACGGCUAACUACGUG
RNAcentral lists this ribosomal RNA (497 nucleotides) under uncultured bacterium. Its description in RNAcentral is "partial 16S ribosomal RNA". It matches the Rfam family "Bacterial small subunit ribosomal RNA", at positions 28 to 507 of the family's 1533-position model. The record is from RNAcentral.